This 430-nucleotide ribosomal RNA is filed under the name Pseudomonadota bacterium. RNAcentral's name for it is "Proteobacteria bacterium partial 16S ribosomal RNA". It matches the Rfam family "Bacterial small subunit ribosomal RNA", at positions 355 to 776 of the family's 1533-position model. The record is from RNAcentral. Lineage: Bacteria; Pseudomonadati; Pseudomonadota.
UGGGGAAUAUUGGACAAUGGGGGGAACCCUGAUCCAGCCAUGCCGCGUGUGUGAAGAAGGCCUUAUGGUUGUAAAGCACUUUAAGCGAGGAGGAGGGUACUGGUAUUAAUACUACCAGCUACUGGACGUUACUCGCAGAAUAAGCACCGGCUAACUCUGUGCCAGCAGCCGCGGUAAUACAGAGGGUGCGAGCGUUAAUCGGAUUUACUGGGCGUAAAGCGUGCGUAGGCGGCUAAUUGAGUCGGAUGUGAAAUCCCCGAGCUUAACUUGGGAAUUGCAUUCGAUACUGGUUAGCUAGAGUGUGGGAGAGGAUGGUAGAAUUCCAGGUGUAGCGGUGAAAUGCGUAGAGAUCUGGAGGACUACCGAUGGCGAAGGCAGCCAUCUGGCCUAACACUGACGCUGAGGUACGAAAGCAUGGGGAGCAAACAGG